RNAcentral lists this ribosomal RNA (344 nucleotides) under uncultured bacterium. RNAcentral's name for it is "bacterial SSU rRNA". It matches the Rfam family "Bacterial small subunit ribosomal RNA", at positions 1 to 334 of the family's 1533-position model. The record is from RNAcentral.
CUCGUAGCUCAGAGUUUGAUCCUGGCUCAGGAUGAACGCUAGCGGCAGGCUUAACACAUGCAAGUCAGGGCAGCAUGAACCGACCUUCGGGAAGGUUUGAUGGCGACCGGCGCAAGGGUGCGUAACGCGUGAGCAACUUGCCCGUUUCUGGGGAAUAACCGGUGGAAACGCCGACUAAUACCCCAUAGCAUCAACUUUGGGCAUCCUUAGUUGAUUAAAGAACUUCGGAAACGGAUAGGCUCGCGUGACAUUAGCUGGAUGGCGGGGUAACGGCCCACCAUGGCGACGAUGUCUAGGGGUUCUGAGAGGAAGGUCCCCCACACUGGAACUGAGACACGGUCCAG